RNAcentral lists this transfer RNA (75 nucleotides) under Homo sapiens (human). RNAcentral's name for it is "tRNA-Ile (AAT) (tRX-Ile-NNN-3-1)". Lineage: Eukaryota; Metazoa; Chordata; Mammalia; Primates; Hominidae. The record is from RNAcentral.
GGCCGGUUAGCUCGGUUGCUUAGAGUGUUGUGUUAAUUACGCUAAAGGUCGUGGGUUUGAUCCUCUUACCGGCCA